Molecule: RNA transcript, 3460 nt
Organism: Neodiprion virginianus
Lineage: Eukaryota; Metazoa; Arthropoda; Insecta; Hymenoptera; Diprionidae
Gene name: protein phosphatase 1B
Exons: 7
Source: RefSeq, a predicted model, not a curated record
CGCAGUCCCCGGGAAAUAAGCAUCCGCCAUUCAUACGAGUCGAUUCCGUUGUUUCUGUGUGUUGAGCCUGGUUCGACGACGGGACAUGGUGACGGUAAUAUUUGUGGUCCCCUGAGAAAAACAUGAGCCGAUUCAACUAGCGACGUUUAAAUAAGGUGACGCGAAAAAUGCGUUGAUAGAACAUCGUAAACUGUUGUACUGAACCGCUGCUUAAUCCGUAGGCAUUGUUAGCUCGAGUUUAGUAAUAAUAUUGCUGCAGUUUUACCCACGCGAGAGAAAACGAGCUGAAAACCUGCUGCCAAGUGUUGUGUGAGAAAAUUGAUACGACGAAAAAUGCUCGUCAAAUAAUAUAAAUCUGGAUUGAUACGGCUGAAAACAGCGAACCACUAUAGUGAGAGAGAGAGCAACAGACUAUGGGGGCAUUUUUAGAUAAACCGCAAACAGACAAGUACAAUGAGCAUGGGGCUGGGAACGGUUUGCGAUAUGGAGUCGCCAGCAUGCAGGGCUGGCGGGUUGAGAUGGAGGAUGCUCACCGAGCCAUAACCGGUCUUGAGGGUGGCUUGUCGGACUGGAGUUACUUCGCCGUGUUCGAUGGCCACGCAGGUGCUCUUGUGUCUGCGCACAGCGCGGAGCAUUUGUUAGAGUCAAUAAUGCAAACGGAGGAGUUUAAGGCGGAGGAUGUAAUAAAGGGUAUUCACUCAGGCUUUUUGAGAUUAGACGACCGAAUGCGAGACUUGCCUGAGAUGAUUACAGAUAAGUCUGGCUCGACGGCUGUUUGUGCUUUCAUUUCUCCCAGGCAAAUUUAUAUCGCAAACUGCGGAGAUUCAAGGGCUGUACUGUGCCGAUCUGGUAAUCCAGUGUUCUCAACCAGAGACCACAAGCCUGUUUUACCUGCUGAGAAGGAGAGAAUCCAAAAAGCUGGAGGGAGCGUCAUGAUCCAGCGAGUUAACGGGUCGCUCGCUGUUUCUAGAGCCUUAGGAGAUUACGAGUACAAAAAUGUCGAGGGUCGUGGCCCAUGCGAACAGCUAGUCUCACCCGAACCUGAAAUAUUUGUCAGGGAAAGAGACGACGUCAAUGACGAAUUCCUGGUUUUGGCAUGCGACGGGAUUUGGGACGUUAUGACCAACGAGGAUCUCUGUGAUUUCAUUCGUUCUAGGCUACUCUUGACUGACGAUUUGGAAGCAGUCACCAACCAAGUCAUAGAUACCUGCCUAUAUAAGGGUAGCCGAGACAACAUGAGCAUAGUUUUGGUAACGUUACCUGGUGCCCCGAAGCCAAGCGCAGAGGCACAGAAGAAAGAAGCUGAAUUGGAAAUGGCCAUUGAAAGGAGGAUCAAAGAAAUAGUAACGCAGCAGGAGGGCCAGGAUGGAAUCGAUUUCCCACAGCUGCUCCAACAUCUUAUAGACCAGGAAAUGCCCAAUCUUCCACCCGGAGGUGGUCUUCCUGCCAAGCGACCAUUCAUCGAACAGGUGUUCCGGGAAGUUUGCCCCAGCAGGGCGAACAGUAUAGAAGAAGAUGAGUCAAGGAAAGUUCGAAUUAUUCGUUGCAUAUACAACUCGAUGCGUCUGCAUUCUAAACAAAGCUGAACGUAGAAAACUGAUACAAGGCCGGCCUAAGAAUUGAGCAGUAUUCCGCAGUUACAAGGAGUCAAGGACUAGUUAGUGCAUACAAUAUGUAUACCAUUUUAUACGUGUCGUAUGGAAUAAUCUGGCGAAUGAGAGAACAGCAGAUUUGAGACAUCGUCAACUACAACUAUGAUGGGUUUGCCGCAUUAAGUCACAAUUGUAUAGAACAAUAAUUAAUCAUUAAAUCACACGUUAGUCAAUACCAAACAAUAUACCUUGCAUUACAUUACACUUGUACAACUGACAAAAAAAACCUACGUUUUUAAGAGUUUACUGUAUAAAGCGGUUUAAUAUGAUACUAGCCAAGGGUGAGAUGUAUAAAUUAACUUAACACACAUGCCAGCAUAUUUAUAUGACUAAGCCAUUACCUCACAAUACCUACUUCCAUCACAGCGUAACUCAUAUUGCAGAAAAUUUUGGAUCGUAUCUCUUUACGAAGAUCCACUAUUAUGGAUAUAUCUUACUUUUAAAUUCAGGUAGUAGGAAAAUAAUGAAUUUAAUUUUCAUUUAAUUUUCAUUUAAUAUUCAUUUAAGAGUAAAGCAGCUUUCAUUAUUUCGCACUGUAAUUUCUCUCAGUUUUCAUCAUAUGAAUUUCGCGUAACUCCCUCAAUACAAAUCUGGGCCAGAUAAUUAUAGUUUUCUUCAAGCUGUACUUAAUUUAAAUUAUAUAUACACAUAUAUCGCAAUAAUUUCGAAUAUCCUCAUCCGUGUUGAAUAAAUAAAACAAUCUUGUUAGAAAAUCAAUUGAAUUAUAUGAAGUAAACUAUUGAAUCGAAAUGGAGUACUUAGAACAGUAGUAUGCAUUCACAGGCAAACUGCAUCCCAUCGAAGAUUUAAUGAAUCAGAACAUUUUUUUUUACUAAUUUUUCUUCUAAAAAGAUUUAUUGUAACAUUGAUACUCGACAGUCUUUAGUUUCAGAAUAUUCUUACUUGUUUCCAAUUCUUAUAGCUAUGAUGCGUAAUUGGGUAAUCUAAACUAUGACAAUUUCAUUAUUCUGUUGAUUUAUUCACGAAAAAAAAAAACGAUAAGAAAAAUUGCUGUAUACAAGUUGCUGUUACAGUACAAAAAUACAAUAUUCCGAAUUCAAGGGUUGGUAACGUUUUGUACUACUUUUAUACGUAUUUUCAACCAGGUACAUUUUUUAUGUAUUUUUCAUUAAUGUAACGAAACAAGAAACUUUUCACACAUGCAAACUAACCAUUCAUUCGAUUAUUAAAGAAUUAUAAAGCGUAUAAUUGAGUUUAUUAUUCAUUAAUUAUUGAUGAUCUUACCUUUGGCUACAGGUUUAGGUAUUACGUUGUAAAAAUAACUAUUGUACAAAUCAAUGUACUCUGACUACUAUAGCAUAAUUGAAAAUUAUUUACAUUUGUCUAUCGAUGAAAUUUGGAAAAAAUUUCUGUAAUGUCAUAAUGAUCUUCAGGAUGAUCAUAUAAAACUGAAAAUUAUUAUAAGUUGAAUAUCGUUUCGUAGUGAAUUAUUUCAUAAGAUUCUUCCACAAUUGCAGAAUUUGCAAUGUACAGAAUUCAUAUACCUAAGUACAUUGAUUUAAAAUUUUCAACCUGAAAUAUUUCAUAGUGAUUAGAAAUAGGCGUACAAUCUAUUGCUAGUGGAUUUGAAGGCAUUGCGCACCACAUAAAAUUUACUAAAGAACGAUAAGGAACGUUCUUAUUCAGUGAGAUGAGAAAAAAGAAGCUAUACUAAACUAACAACGCUAAUUUAGCUCUAUUUAGCAAAUUCAGCUAACAUCAUAACAAUAUUGUAGUAUAUUACCAGAAAGCUGAACUAAAGAUUCAUGGAUAUUAUCAAAUAAAUUAUCAAACGUUUAUUCAUAUAA